UGAACGCUGGCGGUAGGCCUAACACAUGCAAGUCGAACGGCAGCACAGUAAGAGCUUGCUCUUACGGGUGGCGAGUGGCGGACGGGUGAGGAAUACAUCGGAAUCUACUUUUUCGUGGGGGAUAACGUAGGGAAACUUACGCUAAUACCGCAUACGACCUACGGGUGAAAGCAGGGGAUCUUCGGACCUUGCGCAAUUGAAUGAGCCGAUGUCGGAUUAGCUAGUUGGCGGGGUAAAGGCCCACCAAGGCGACGAUCCGUAGCUGGUCUGAGAGGAUGAUCAGCCACACUGGAACUGAGACACGGUCCAGACUCCUACGGGAGGCAGCAGUGGGGAAUAUUGGACAAAGGGCGCAAGCCUGAUCCAGCCAUACCGCGUGGGUGAAGAAGGCCUUCGGGUUGUAAAGCCCUUUUGUUGGGAAAGAAAAGCAGCAGGUUAAUACCCCGCUGUUCUGACGGUACCCAAAGAAUAAGCACCGGCUAACUUCGUG
This 490-nucleotide ribosomal RNA is filed under the name uncultured bacterium. RNAcentral describes it as "partial 16S ribosomal RNA". It matches the Rfam family "Bacterial small subunit ribosomal RNA", at positions 30 to 507 of the family's 1533-position model. The record is from RNAcentral.